This 116-nucleotide ribosomal RNA is filed under the name Labrus bergylta (ballan wrasse). Lineage: Eukaryota; Metazoa; Chordata; Actinopteri; Labriformes; Labridae. The record is from RNAcentral.
GCUUACGGCCAUACCACCUGAACACGCCGAUCUCGUCCGAUCUCGGAAGCUAAGCAGGGUCGGGCCUGGUUAGUACUUGGAUGGGAGACGCCUGGGAAUACCAGGUGCUGUAAGCU